This 524-nucleotide ribosomal RNA is filed under the name uncultured bacterium. RNAcentral's name for it is "partial 16S ribosomal RNA". It matches the Rfam family "Bacterial small subunit ribosomal RNA", at positions 28 to 523 of the family's 1533-position model. The record is from RNAcentral.
GACGAACGCUGGCGGCGUGCCUAAUACAUGCAAGUCGAGCGCAGGAAACUGACGGAACUCUUCGGAGGGAAGGCAGUGGAAUGAGCGGCGGACGGGUGAGUAACACGUAAGGAACCUGCCCCAAGGAUUGGGAUAACUCCGAGAAAUCGGAGCUAAUACCGGAUAGUUCAACGGACCGCAUGGUCCGCUGAUGAAAGGCGCUCCGGCGUCACCUUGAGAUGGCCUUGCGGUGCAUUAGCUAGUUGGUGGGGUAACGGCCCACCAAGGCGACGAUGCAUAGCCGACCUGAGAGGGUGAUCGGCCACACUGGGACUGAGACACGGCCCAGACUCCUACGGGAGGCAGCAGUAGGGAAUCUUCCACAAUGGACGAAAGUCAGAUGGAGCAACGCCGCGUGAGUGAUGAAGGUUUUCGGAUCGUAAAACUCUGUUGUAAGGGAAGAACACGUACGAGAGGGAAUGCUCGUACCUUGACGGUACCUUACGAGAAAGCCACGGCUAACUACGUGCCAGCCGCCGCCGUAA